RNAcentral lists this ribosomal RNA (769 nucleotides) under Escherichia coli. Its description in RNAcentral is "bacterial SSU rRNA". It matches the Rfam family "Bacterial small subunit ribosomal RNA", at positions 764 to 1533 of the family's 1533-position model. The record is from RNAcentral. Lineage: Bacteria; Pseudomonadati; Pseudomonadota; Gammaproteobacteria; Enterobacterales; Enterobacteriaceae.
GGGAGCAAACAGGAUUAGAUACCCUGGUAGUCCACGCCGUAAACGAUGUCGACUUGGAGGUUGUGCCCUUGAGGCGUGGCUUCCGGAGCUAACGCGUUAAGUCGACCGCCUGGGGAGUACGGCCGCAAGGUUAAAACUCAAAUGAAUUGACGGGGGCCCGCACAAGCGGUGGAGCAUGUGGUUUAAUUCGAUGCAACGCGAAGAACCUUACCUGGUCUUGACAUCCACAGAACCUUGUAGAGAUACGAGGGUGCCUUCGGGAACUGUGAGACAGGUGCUGCAUGGCUGUCGUCAGCUCGUGUUGUGAAAUGUUGGGUUAAGUCCCGCAACGAGCGCAACCCUUAUCCUUUGUUGCCAGCGGUCCGGCCGGGAACUCAAAGGAGACUGCCAGUGAUAAACUGGAGGAAGGUGGGGAUGACGUCAAGUCAUCAUGGCCCUUACGACCAGGGCUACACACGUGCUACAAUGGCGCAUACAAAGAGAAGCGACCUCGCGAGAGCAAGCGGACCUCAUAAAGUGCGUCGUAGUCCGGAUUGGAGUCUGCAACUCGACUCCAUGAAGUCGGAAUCGCUAGUAAUCGUGGAUCAGAAUGCCACGGUGAAUACGUUCCCGGGCCUUGUACACACCGCCCGUCACACCAUGGGAGUGGGUUGCAAAAGAAGUAGGUAGCUUAACCUUCGGGAGGGCGCUUACCACUUUGUGAUUCAUGACUGGGGUGAAGUCGUAACAAGGUAACCGUAGGGGAACCUGCGGUUGGAUCACCUCCUUA